RNAcentral lists this unclassified non-coding RNA (2600 nucleotides) under Hevea brasiliensis (rubber tree). The record is from RNAcentral. Lineage: Eukaryota; Viridiplantae; Streptophyta; Magnoliopsida; Malpighiales; Euphorbiaceae.
CUGCUUUGGCAUUCAAAUAUCAGAGAAAGGUCUAAGAUGCUGCAAUAGGCAUGCAUGACAGGCGGAAAGGCCGAACAUAACCAUUAAAAUAAAAAUAAAAAUAAAUAUCCUUGUUGAGAAUAUGCCUAAACAAUACAAGCACCUUAAUAAUUGACAGGAAAAUGAAAAGCUAAUUUGGAUGGUAAAUGCAGACACCAUUGCAGUGCCAAAACCCAAAAACCAAAAAUUUUAAUUGCCAGGCCAAAUUUAUGUACAGAAGGACCAAAACGUAGCAACUACAGGACAAGAAAAUGAGACUAAAAUGGGCAAAAAGAAAGAUAACUUCUUUUGAAUCCUGGCCUUUGGCAAGCCACACAUCAUCAAGACAGCAUUUCCAAAGAUUUUACCCCCAAUAACCAGUGAAUUAAGAAUAAAGAAGCACCCUUUCAAAUCCUACAUUUCAGAAGAUUCACAGCUGGCAAUCUUCGGUUUCAGCCUUUAGUUUCUCUUAAUAGAGAAUACGGAUCAUAGAUGCUGCAAAUGUCACAUUUUAUUUGGCAUCAUAUAUUUAGCUUUUUUCUCAGCAGGCUUCAAAAUCUGAAAGGAGCACAUCAGAUUUUCAUCUACACUCAUCAUAGCACCUGCAUUAUCAAAUUCACCACAAUAGUUGGGAGCUGAAAAAAUAGUGACAAGCUGCCUUUCUGCAAAGAAUUCAUACCCAUCCUCCACAACCUGAUGUGCGCGACAGACAAGGUCUAAAUCAUGCUUUGUCAAGAAUUCUGACACCUUAUCAGGACCAAAAGUAUAUGAAACUCCUCUGUCAUUCAUUCCCCAACCUUUAACAUCUCUACCAGGAUCUGACCAGAGCAAAUCACAUAGUAAACCAGUGUCUGGAACUGCAGUUGGUCGAGGUAAAUUUCUAAUUUGAUCCAAAUUUGUCAAAUCAGGGGAAAGACCACCAUGCAUGCACAAUAUUUUAUCAUCUACUAGAGCCGCAACAGGAAGAUAGUUGAAACAGUCAGUAAAGAAUUUCCAAAGCCUCACAUUAAACCGCCGCUUGCAUUCAUCAUAAAAUCCAUAUAUCCGGUUUAUUGAUGCGCAUUCAUGGUUUCCUCUCAAAAGGAAAAAGUUUUCUGGAUAUUUAAUCUUGUAGGCAAGCAAAAGGCAAAUUGUUUCUAAACUCUGCUUGCCACGAUCAACAUAAUCCCCUAAAAAUAAAUAAUUGGCUUCAGGAGGAAAACCUCCAUACUCAAACAGCCUUAGUAAAUCACUAUAUUGCCCAUGAAUGUCACCUGAAAUAUAAAGAAGAAUCUUCAGAAGGCCGUAGAGACCAAAUAUAGGCAAUUAUUACACUGAAUUCCAAUAUAUAAUCACAGCAGGGUCUUCCACCAAAGCCACAGAGCUCAAAUUAACAACUUAAUCUAAAGCAUACAGUUGCCUUUGAUCAUUAAGAACGUCAAUUAAUCGAAUAAAUCCCUAAAAUGCCUUCAAUGAGACUUGAUCAAGUGCAGGAAUCAUAUUGCGUUCUCAAAAAUGGAACAAGAAACAACGAGUUUUUACUGGUACAGGGUGGGCUCUUUUAUAUCAAACAAUGUAAUAUCAAAACUCACAAGGGACUUAAUCCCCUAGACUAAGGAUUUUAGAAUUGACAUGAACAUGAACUAAAAGUUGUUCACUUUUCCUUGCCUAGUUUGUCAGCAAUGUAACAGUAUAUCACACCGUCCAAUCAAGUUUUGGUACAAUACAAAAACAACCCAAUAACACAAGACUCAAAUAGCCUAAUUCCACCCAGCCGCCACCCCAACCCCCCCGCGGCGGGAGGGGCGGAAUCUGACAUAUAAUACGUUCUACAAAAAUGUACCAUACCAAGUAAACAAAUAAAACAAGCACACAAAAGGGUUGCUCGUGAUAAACUCCUCCAAACGCGUUAUGCUCAACAAUUCAUCUUGUAGAAAACAAUCCCUGAACAUAAUCCCACAAAAACCAGACCAAAAACUCAACAUAUAGAUAUGAAAGUCGAUGUCUUUUUAUAUAGAGCAUACCGCAAAUCUUAAUGGGAGCUUCCAACUCGAGCAAAUUAGGCUGUUGCAUAAAGAUAUCUCGAGAAGCUACACAUAGCUGCCUGAUCUCAGCCUCCGAGAGCUGCACCUGCUUACCUGGCCUCGCUGAUCGGACCUCCGUUAGCCUUUUGAUGAUAUCAUCCAAUACGGCAGGGUCCAUCGACGCCUGCCCUUGUGUUGCCAUCGGAUCUUGUAGUCCUCCUCCUCGUCUUCCUUCUCCCUCCUAAUCCCCUGAUUUCUCCGAACAAAAAGCCCUAGAAAUCAGAAUGGCUAUAGAGUUUUUGACGAUUAUUUGGUCUUCUAGUCGUUGCUGGUCGUUUCGUGCCUUUUAGUCUGCUGUGCGUGUUCAAAAAACACUCGCUUAGUGGCGUAGAAGUAGAACAAAAAGGUAUUUUCUCGGGAAAAAGAGUGGGAAGGAUAAGGAAAAUAAUAAUAAAUUAAAUAUUUGUUUCAUGAGUCCGGGAAGGAGAAAAGAAAAGUGUGAAAACUGUAGAAGAAGGAGACGGCUGCAAUGUCCAUGCGGCGGAGGUGCCUAUAAUAUCUUCUUUCGGAGUGUUUUAG